UACGUAGGUGGCAAGCGUUAUCCGGAUUUAUUGGGCGUAAAGGGAACGCAGGCGGUCUUUUAAGUCUGAUGUGAAAGCCUUCGGCUUAACCGGAGUAGUGCAUUGGAAACUGUGGAACUGGAGUGCUGGAGAGGCAAGCGGAAUUCCUAGUGUAGCGGUGAAAUGCGUAGAUAUUAGGAGGAACACCAGUGGCGAAGGCGGCUUGCUGGACAGUAACUGACGUUGAGGCUCGAAAGCGUGGGGAGCAAACAGG
This 253-nucleotide ribosomal RNA is filed under the name uncultured bacterium. RNAcentral's name for it is "partial 16S ribosomal RNA". It matches the Rfam family "Bacterial small subunit ribosomal RNA", at positions 524 to 776 of the family's 1533-position model. The record is from RNAcentral.